This 307-nucleotide ribosomal RNA is filed under the name uncultured soil bacterium. Its description in RNAcentral is "bacterial SSU rRNA". It matches the Rfam family "Bacterial small subunit ribosomal RNA", at positions 26 to 363 of the family's 1533-position model. The record is from RNAcentral.
AGAACGAACGCUGGCGGCAUGCCUAAUACAUGCAAGUCGAACGAACACUUCGGUGUUAGUGGCGCACGGGUGCGUAACGCGUGGGAAUCUGCCCUUGGGUUCGGAAUAACAGUUGGAAACGACUGCUAAUACCGGAUGAUGACGAAAGUCCAAAGAUUUAUCGCCCAGGGAUGAGCCCGCGUAGGAUUAGCUAGUUGGUGAGGUAAAGGCUCACCAAGGCGACGAUCCUUAGCUGGUCUGAGAGGAUGAUCAGCCACACUGGGACUGAGACACGGCCCAGACUCCUAGGGAGCAGCAGUAGGGAAUA